RNAcentral lists this unclassified non-coding RNA (2861 nucleotides) under Anthonomus grandis grandis. RNAcentral's name for it is "tBC1 domain family member 31". The record is from RNAcentral. Lineage: Eukaryota; Metazoa; Arthropoda; Insecta; Coleoptera; Curculionidae.
CUUUUACAUCUUAAACCUGGCAACAUUGAGUUUGUCAACAAAUAAAUACAAACAAAAUUCUAAACUGUUAAACAUUUAAUUAAAUGGCCUUUCUGGAUGUUACCCAGAAAGUGAAUCGCGACGUACAAAAGAAAUUGUUCAAGCUUAAGCCAAUCAAUUUUGAAGGUUUGCUAGUGAAUAUCCGACAAACCUGUCCCAAAAAAAACCUCAGAUUUACCCACAUAGAUUUCCAACCCAAUGGAAGUCUUUUAGCCCUAGUAAACAAUGACCACCAUAUAUACAUAAUUGAUUUUCCCAAUGAAAAACUUUGGAAACUCCAAACUGUGGGCUUCUGUACUUAUAUUAAAUUCUCAGAAUAUACCGAGACUCAACUUCUAGCUGGAAAAACCAAUGGGGUGAUCGAAAUUUUAAAUGUCGACACUGGGGAGGUUAUUGCUAAACUUUUGGGGCACCUGCAUCCCAUUGUAUCGGUGUCAUUUUGUAAGAGCAGUGUGUGUUUAUCGGCUUCUAGGUAUGAUGCAAUUAUCUGGGAUUUGGAGAGUUUUAAUAAGAUGCAGGUGUUGUCUUUGGAGAAGGAAUGUGCCUUAAAGUUUGUAGUUUUUAUACCGAUUUCCAAUAAUAUUUUAGUCUGUUAUAAUGAUGAUAUAAUCCAAAUAUGGCAGGCAGGCAGUUUUAAGCACUUAAAGCAAUUUCAUCCAUCUAAUUGGAAGAAUUAUUAUGUGAGAUCCAUAAGUUUUUCAAGUAAUGGAAAAAUAAUGGCCGUUAGUGGCUACCUGCCUGUCUUAGCAAUUUUCCAGCUAAACAUAUGGAAACUUUUAAAAAUAAUUAGCUUACCAGAAUAUAUAAACACGAUAAAGCAAAUGCAAUUCAUUCCUGAGAAUUUCGAUGGUGGAUGCAAUAAACUGUUGGCCAUACUGUCAGGCAAUGGCACCAUAUAUUUUUAUAACAUACAAGACAAUAUUUUAUUGUCAGAACUGAAGUCUAACUGUGAAAUAAGCAGUUUUACUUUGCCAUCCUAUAACGUACAGUAUAUUGCCUGUUUGCUUUGUAGUGGUGAAGUGGAGGUCUAUGAUAUUGCCUUUUUUACUUUAAGAAAUGAAAACACUAUUACUAUUAAAGCUCAAGAUGCCUCGGGGCAUAAAAACAAGUUGAAGAACUAUGCCAAGAAGAUUGAUUUGUGUACUAAAGUACAGUUAGAUAACGUUCUUGAAGUCGACAAACUGAAGUCAAUCAUUAAAGAGUACCAAGAGUUCCCUGAAGCAUUUCGUGCAACAAUCUGGGAGAAAAUCUUAAAAUUGCCCAACAAUGUGAGGCAAUAUAACAGCAUAGUUAAUCAUAUGGGUGUAGCGGCUUUUGAGGACUUACAAAAAACCUUUCCGCUUGAAGAUAAAGGCAGUAUAAGGUGCUUGAGGCAGAUUUUAAGUAAUCUGGCUGCGUGGUGUCCAUUCUUUGCUCAAGUGGAUUAUUUGCCGUGUUUUCUGUAUCCGUUUAUCAAGGUUUUUCAUAAAAAGCCUGUUGCAUGCUUUGAACUCUGUUGUACUAUUAUUGUAAAUUGGUGUCAACAUUGGUUUGAAUAUUACCCCCUGCCACCAGUAAACGUGCUGGCCAUAAUAGACAAUAUGCUCAUAGAACACGAUUCCAGCCUUCUACAGCAUUUCUCCCAUUACAACAUCAAACCAGUAAUUUACUCUUGGUCUUUAUUAGAAUCCGCAUUUUCAGAAGUGCUUACGACUAAAGAAUGGUUAAUGUUUUGGGACCAUGUGUUUAUAAACGAACCCGGUUUCCUCCUAUGCGCCGUAGUCGCCUUCCUUAUAGUCCAAAAGAAGUUCAUCGUAAUGCUAAACAAACUGGAAGACUUCCUUGACUUUUUCCAUUGCCAAAGACCCUUAGAAAUACGGAAGUUAAUAGCGAAAACGUACUGGAUCUUAAAACAUACCAGCGAUAUGAAUCAUCCUAGUCAAUAUUUAAAUGCUUUUACUUGCCUAAAGUGCGGAAUAUACCCUACUUUUCUGGAAUAUCCUAAAGAUAUUAUCAACUUUCAAGUUGAACACCUGAAGAUUUUAGAAGGACAAUUGAAGGAUAUUGAAUAUAUGAAAGAGAACAUGCUGAAAGAGCAAAAGAGGCAACAGAUCAUAAACGAAGAUGAGGUGAGGAACGAGGAAGAUAGACGGAGGCUCGAGGUGGAAAAGGCCUGUAUAGAAAAAAUUAAAUUAUAUCAGCAAAACUUGAAGGCUCAGCAGGAUGAGUUAAGGAAACUCAGGGAGGAUCUCUUGGACGAGGAAAGGGCCAUUUUAAUUUCUACACAACAUAAAUUAAGAAAUCAACAAGCUUCCGCGGAUUCUAAUAUAAUGAAGUUGCUUGGUGAAGGGCUUGAUAUGAGUGGGAAUUUUAACGAGAUAGAGUUGAAAAACAUGGAAGAGGCUUAUGAGUUAGAAAAAUUAGGAUUGGCCAGAAAAGGGCGAUUUCUAAAUAGUAUGAGCAGAAAAGCUGGUCCAAGCUCAGCAUUAACUAGUCAGCUCGCCUCAGCUCAUCGACAUACUGUCAAUUUAAAGCGAGAACUAAAAAAGGAUGGAACUGGAGUCGCCGAAAAAAGCCGAUAUUGCUCUAACUCUGUCUGCCAUGGACAGUUUAAUUCGAAAGAUUAAAGAAGAGUUGAACCAGGAUGACCUCAGUCUUAUGACUAAGAGUGAUUUUGUCAAAGAAAAUUUAAAAAUUUAUGGCUUGGAAAAGGAAGUGAAGCACUUACAGAAAGAAACUUCCAAACUACUGGGCACUUUAAAUGAAAAUAACGGCAAUUCCUCCUCGUGUUCUAUUGGUUCCUGCAGGAAUCCUCAACAGAGCUGCUCUAAUAAGACUGUUAG